RNAcentral lists this unclassified non-coding RNA (229 nucleotides) under uncultured fungus. Its description in RNAcentral is "sequence contains ITS1, 5.8S rRNA gene". The stretch from base 181 to 229 matches the Rfam family "5.8S ribosomal RNA", at positions 1 to 49 of the family's 154-position model. The record is from RNAcentral. Lineage: Eukaryota; Fungi.
UCUCCGUAGGUGAACCUGCGGAGGGAUCAUUACUGAGUGAGGGCCCUCGUGGUCCGACCUCCAACCCAUUGUUGUCCGACUCUGUUGCCUCGGGGGCGACCCUGCCGUCCGCGGCUGAGCGCCCCCGGGGUCAAUCAAACACUGCAUUCUCUGCGUCGGAGUAUUAGUAAAUCUAAUCAAAACUUUCAACAACGGAUCUCUUGGUUCUGGCAUCGAUGAAGAACGCAGC